AUGCAGUCGAACGGUGAUGCCCAGCUUGCUGGGCGGAUCAGUGGCGAACGGGUGAGUAACACGUGAGUAACCUGCCCCAGACUCCGGGAUAAGCCUUGGAAACGAGGUCUAAUACUGGAUACGAGACGCCCCUGCAUGGGGAGUGUCUGGAAAGAUUUAUCGGUCUGGGAUGGACUCGCGGCCUAUCAGCUUGUUGGUGGGGUAAUGGCCUACCAAGGCGACGACGGGUAGCCGGCCUGAGAGGGCGACCGGCCACACUGGGACUGAGACACGGCCCAGACUCCUACGGGAGGCAGCAGUGGGGAAUAUUGCACAAUGGGCGAAAGCCUGAUGCAGCGACGCCGCGUGAGGGAUGAAGGCCUUCGGGUUGUAAACCUCUUUCAGCAGGGAAGAAGCGCAAGUGACGGUACCUGCAGAAGAAGCGCCGGCUAACUACGUGCCAGCAGCCGCGGUAAUACGUAGGGCGCAAGCGUUGUCCGGAAUUAUUGGGCGUAAAGAGCUCGUAGGCGGUUUGUCGCGUCUGGUGUGAAAACUCAAGGCUCAACCUUGAGCUUGCAUCGGGUACGGGCAGACUAGAGUGCGGUAGGGGUGACUGGAAUUCCUGGUGUAGCGGUGGAAUGCGCAGAUAUCASGAGGAACACCGAUGGCRAAGGCAGGUCACUGGGCCGCAACUGACGCUGAGGAGCGAAAGCAUGGG
This 697-nucleotide ribosomal RNA is filed under the name Oerskovia jenensis. RNAcentral's name for it is "bacterial SSU rRNA". Lineage: Bacteria; Bacillati; Actinomycetota; Actinomycetes; Micrococcales; Cellulomonadaceae. The record is from RNAcentral.